GUUUGCGAUCAGGAUGUCCACUUGGUACCUUGAAGUGAGAAAUGUAUUGCCAGUUGUCCAGGCCAGGAACUUUGGCCUGGUGGUCAUGUCCAUGUAGGAAAUCAAACCUUAAUAAGAAUCGUAGUGAAAGGAAAUCAGAGCAAAUUCUGUAUUCUAAGGGAAUAGUUCCGUGAAGCGAUGGUGAUCUCCUGUAAUGCCCCUCUUCAUGCAAGUAAGGUUUUCUCCACAGAACCAGGCUGGGGGUCUGGAAUCUCAGCACCAUAUCCGACCUGGACCAGAACUGGAGGAAACUUCACACUCUUGCCUUGGGACAGACGCCUUUGUGUGGAUUCCCACCCCUUGUGACACAGUUCUCCUCCGAACACUCGGAACAGGGCCAUUGACUCAGGAGAACUCUUCCAUACCCAGAACUCCGCUGUUAUGGUGCGCUGCGGGCAUCCUCACUGCCAAGGACCGUGCCUGGACCACAGAUGCAUCUUCGCUGCUCAGUGCCUGACACCACCUAGGGUAUGGAGUGCGUCUGGCCUUGACCAGCCAGCCAGUUGAGUUGAGUGAAUGUGUGUGACUUAUGACACAGGGAAAGACUUGAGUUGCUUGAUUAGCUUCCAAAGCAGCUGCUAAAAAGCUAAUAAUUCAGUCUGUCACGGGAUAAAUCUAGUCUAUCACGCUAGACCCCACAGUGACCCUGCAUGCUAAGGGUGACAGGAAGCCUGAGCGUCCAGCCACACAGGGGUUAUUUUCAGUGUGUGGGCAGCACUGUUCCGCCCGCACUGCCCUCGUUUCUAGCUGUGGAAAGACCUGCAGGAGUUGGACCUGAGGCUGGCAUUGGACAGCAGUUACUGAGAACCAGAGACUGACUGCCCAGCUCUGACCCUGGCUGGACUGCAGUCUCGGGGUCUAAAAACUGGUGUUAGCCAAUGCGAGGACCUUGAGAGUUAACGCCCAGGGCUCCAGAGCUGGGCGUGUCUUAAACAUUCAGUAAGUAUUGACUCCUACUUCAUCCUGGCACAGUGGAGAGCACAUUGAGGUUGGGGCUGGUGAGCUAGGCUUUUAAUUCAGGCUCUGGCCCCAUUUCUCCUAUUUCCCUAAACCUGUUGGGUCUUGUGGAAAAUGUGGAAAUACAGAACAAUGUAACCAAUGCUACUUAAACCACCGCAGACUGUCGGUUUUGGAUCCCUAGGGUCUCACAUUUGUAAAUUGCCUUUAUGGUCCACUUUGGACAGAAAGGAGGAAGCCUCAGCUAGUGAACAAACUGCUCUGUGUA
RNAcentral lists this long non-coding RNA (1264 nucleotides) under Fukomys damarensis (Damara mole-rat). RNAcentral's name for it is "lncRNA (ENSFDAG00000031717.1)". Lineage: Eukaryota; Metazoa; Chordata; Mammalia; Rodentia; Bathyergidae. The record is from RNAcentral.